RNAcentral lists this ribosomal RNA (482 nucleotides) under uncultured bacterium. RNAcentral describes it as "partial 16S ribosomal RNA". It matches the Rfam family "Bacterial small subunit ribosomal RNA", at positions 30 to 507 of the family's 1533-position model. The record is from RNAcentral.
AUUGAACGCUGGCGGCAUGCUUUACACAUGCAAGUCGAACGGUAACAGGCCGCAAGGUGCUGACGAGUGGCGAACGGGGGCGUAAUGCAUCGGAACGUGCCCAGUCGUGGGGGAUAACUACUCGAAAGAGUAGCUAAUACCUCAUACGAUCUAUGGAUGAAAGCGGGGGACCGUAAGACCUCGCGCGAUUUGAGCGGCCGCUGUCAGAUUAGUUAGUUGGUGGGGUAAAGGCUUACCAAGCCAACGAUCUGUAGCUGAUCUGAGAGGACGAGCAGCCACACUGGGACUGAGACACGGCCCAGACUCCUACGGGAGGCAGCAGUGGGGAAUCUUGGGCAAUGGGCGAAAGCCUGAUCCAGCAAUGCCGCGUGAAGGAUGAAGGUCUUCGGAUUGUAAACUGCUGUUGUAAGGAAAGAAAAGGCGCUGGUUAAUCCCCGGGGCUAAUGACGGUACCGAAAGAAUAAGCACCGGCUAACUACGUG